This 472-nucleotide ribosomal RNA is filed under the name Hepatozoon sp. MIG2. Its description in RNAcentral is "bacterial SSU rRNA". It matches the Rfam family "Eukaryotic small subunit ribosomal RNA", at positions 400 to 864 of the family's 1831-position model. Lineage: Eukaryota; Apicomplexa; Hepatozoidae. The record is from RNAcentral.
GAAACGGCUACCACAUCUAAGGAAGGCAGCAGGCGCGCAAAUUACCCAAUUCUAACAGCAUAAGAGAGGUAGUGACAAGAAAUAACAAUACAAGGCAAUUAAAAUGCUUUGUAAUUGGAAUGAUAGAAAUUUAAACACUUUUUAAAGUAUCAAUUGGAGGGCAAGUCUGGUGCCAGCAGCCGCGGUAAUUCCAGCUCCAAUAGCGUAUAUUAAAAUUGUUGCAGUUAAAAAGCUCGUAGUUGAAUUUCUGCUAAGAAUAACCGGUCUGCUUUUAAUAAAAGUGGUAUCUUGGUGUGUUUUUAGCAAUAAUGUCCUUUGAAAUGCUUUUUUACUUUAUUGUAAAAAGCAAUAUUCAGGAUUUUUACUUUGAGAAAAUUAGAGUGUUUCAAGCAGGCUUAUGUUUUGAAUACUGCAGCAUGGAAUAAUAAAAUAGGAUUUUAGUUCUACUUUAUUGGUUUUAAGAACUAAAUUA